Molecule: long non-coding RNA, 295 nt
Organism: Solenopsis invicta (red fire ant)
Lineage: Eukaryota; Metazoa; Arthropoda; Insecta; Hymenoptera; Formicidae
Exons: 2
Source: RefSeq, a predicted model, not a curated record
GAUGACUGUCGGUAUCGUUAGCUAUCGACAAUCGUCGCUUGCGCUAUCGAUAAUCGUUACGGCGGGUGAUUCUAUAACUUGGCUUUAACGAUUAUAUUCGAUGCAAAUAUCGUUACAGACGUAUCGAAAUAAUUCGAUAGCUGUGCAACGUUACCAGAUUUUAAAUAGUAAAAAUUUAGUAACUUUGGAGGUUGUGCCUAGUUUUAUGAACACCGAACAAGAAAUUUAACCUAAUCAUCUGUAUUUGAUAAAUCAAAAAAAACAAGGACUACAAGGGCAUCGCAAGUCCAAUUAA